This 72-nucleotide transfer RNA is filed under the name Aspergillus clavatus NRRL 1. RNAcentral's name for it is "tRNA-Thr (CGT) (tRNA-Thr-CGT-2-1)". It matches the Rfam family "tRNA". Rfam says of the family: Transfer RNA (tRNA) molecules are approximately 80 nucleotides in length. Their secondary structure includes four short double-helical elements and three loops (D, anti-codon, and T loops). Lineage: Eukaryota; Fungi; Ascomycota; Eurotiomycetes; Eurotiales; Aspergillaceae. The record is from RNAcentral.
GCAUCUAUAGCUCAGUGGUAGAGCGUUCCACUCGUAAUGGAAAGGUCCGCGGUUCGAUCCCGCGUCGAUGCA